UGCGGAAGGAUCAUUAAAGGUUUAGGGUACUCAGUGCCCAAACUUCAACCCUAUGUUUUGUUAAGCUGUUUCUUUGCCGGUUUCGGCCGGCAGAAGACUUCUCAAACUCCUCGUGAAUCUGCUCUGAAUAUAACUAUAAAAUCGUUAAAACUUUCAACAACGGAUCUCUUGGUUCUGGCAUCGAUGAAGAACGCAGCGAAAUGCGAUAAGUAAUGUGAAUUGCAGAAUUCAGUGAAUCAUCGAAUUUUUGAACGCAUAUUGCGCCCUUUGGUAUUCCGAAGGGCAUGCCUGUUCGAGCGUCAUUACACCCCUCAAGCCUAGCUUGCUGUUGGGCCCUGCCGGAGACGGCGGGCCUCAAAGUCAGUGACGGUUACCCCUAACCUCAGGCGCACAGAUGCUGCCAUGGCGGGAAGGGGCCACCGGUAACCCAAGACGUUGACCUCGGAUCAGGUAGGAAUACCCGCUGAACUUAAGCAUAUCAAUAAGUCGGAGGAA
Molecule: ribosomal RNA, 495 nt
Filed under: Gamsomyces longisporus
Lineage: Eukaryota; Fungi; Ascomycota; Eurotiomycetes; Sclerococcales
Description: eukaryotic LSU rRNA
Rfam family: 5.8S ribosomal RNA (bases 149-302)
Source: RNAcentral